RNAcentral lists this ribosomal RNA (253 nucleotides) under uncultured bacterium. Its description in RNAcentral is "partial 16S ribosomal RNA". It matches the Rfam family "Bacterial small subunit ribosomal RNA", at positions 524 to 776 of the family's 1533-position model. The record is from RNAcentral.
GACGUAGGGGGCAAGCGUUGUUCGGAAUUAUUGGGCGUAAAGCGCUCGUAGGCGGGACAGGAAGUUCGUGUUGAAAGACCUCGGCUCAACUGAGGGACCGGCUCGAAUACUCUUGUUCUUGAGGCAAUCAGAGGGUGAUGGAAUUCCCGGUGUAGCGGUGAAAUGCGUAGAUAUCGGGAAGAACACCCGUGGCGAAGGCGGCUCUCUGGGACGGUACUGACGCUGAGACGCGAAAGCGUGGGGAGCGAACAGG